Molecule: ribosomal RNA, 468 nt
Filed under: uncultured bacterium
Lineage: Bacteria
Description: partial 16S ribosomal RNA
Rfam family: Bacterial small subunit ribosomal RNA
Source: RNAcentral
GACGAACGCUGGCGGCGUGCUUAACACAUGCAAGUCGAACGGAGAGGCCCUGCUUUUGUGGGGUGCUCGAGUGGCGAACGGGUGAGUAACACGUGAGUAACCUGCCCUUGACUUUGGGAUAACUUCAGGAAACUGGGGCUAAUACCGGAUAGGAGCUCCUGCUGCAUGGUGGGGGUUGGAAAGUUUCGGCGGUUGGGGAUGGACUCGCGGCUUAUCAGCUUGUUGGUGGGGUAGUGGCUUACCAAGGCUUUGACGGGUAGCCGGCCUGAGAGGGUGACCGGCCACAUUGGGACUGAGAUACGGCCCAGACUCCUACGGGAGGCAGCAGUGGGGAAUAUUGCACAAUGGGCGGAAGCCUGAUGCAGCAACGCCGCGUGCGGGAUGACGGCCUUCGGGUUGUAAACCGCUUUCGCCUGUGGCGAAGCGUGAGUGACGGUAAUGGGUAAAGAAGCACCGGCUAACUACGUG